RNAcentral lists this transfer RNA (82 nucleotides) under Solirubrobacterales bacterium. Its description in RNAcentral is "tRNA-Tyr". It matches the Rfam family "tRNA". Rfam says of the family: Transfer RNA (tRNA) molecules are approximately 80 nucleotides in length. Their secondary structure includes four short double-helical elements and three loops (D, anti-codon, and T loops). Further hydrogen bonds mediate the characteristic L-shaped molecular structure. tRNAs have two regions of fundamental functional importance: the anti-codon, which is responsible for specific mRNA codon recognition, and the 3' end, to which the tRNAs corresponding amino acid is attached (by aminoacyl-tRNA synthetases). tRNAs cope with the degeneracy of the genetic code in two manners: having more than one tRNA (with a specific anti-codon) for a particular amino acid; and 'wobble' base-pairing, i.e. permitting non-standard base-pairing at the 3rd anti-codon position. Lineage: Bacteria; Bacillati; Actinomycetota; Thermoleophilia; Solirubrobacterales. The record is from RNAcentral.
GGCGGGAUUCCAGAGCGGUCAAAUGGGUCCGGCUGUAAACCGGAUGGCUAUGCCUUCGAAGGUUCGAAUCCUUCUCCCGCCA